AAUUCAUAAUUUCUUGGGGGGGGUUCAUAUACUCAAAAAGGAGGUAUAAUUUCAUGUAAAUGAAGUUUAUUGACCAUGAAUUACAGAAAAAAGUAAUGUAAAACUUGUGGUAAUGAGUUGGAAUGAAGUUGGCUUAAAAAGUGUAAGACAGAAUUAGGUGAUAAUUUAUAGUUUAUGUUUUA
Molecule: long non-coding RNA, 182 nt
Organism: Sebastes umbrosus (honeycomb rockfish)
Lineage: Eukaryota; Metazoa; Chordata; Actinopteri; Perciformes; Sebastidae
Exons: 2
Source: RefSeq, a predicted model, not a curated record